RNAcentral lists this unclassified non-coding RNA (260 nucleotides) under uncultured fungus. RNAcentral's name for it is "sequence contains ITS1, 5.8S rRNA gene". The stretch from base 212 to 260 matches the Rfam family "5.8S ribosomal RNA", at positions 1 to 49 of the family's 154-position model. Lineage: Eukaryota; Fungi. The record is from RNAcentral.
UCUCCGUUGGUGAACCAGCGGAGGGAUCAUUACAGGACUCGCAAGACUCCCGUAAACCACUGUGAACCUACUACUGUUGCCUCGGCGCAGGCUGGGAGCUUCUGUAAACUCCCCCCCGCGGACUCACCUCUGCGCGGAGCAGGCCCGCCGGCGGCCCCACCAAACUCUUGUUUUUAGUGUCUCUUCUGAGUUAAACAAACAAAUGAAUCAAAACUUUCAACAACGGAUCUCUUGGUUCUGGCAUCGAUGAAGAACGCAGC